Non-coding RNA from Bos taurus (domestic cattle), 72 nucleotides. The record is from Rfam. NCBI's taxonomy places the organism in Eukaryota, Metazoa, Chordata, Mammalia, Artiodactyla, Bovidae.
UCCCUGGUGGCUUAGAUGGUAAAGAAUCUGCCUGCAAUGCAGGAGACCUGGGUUUGAUCCCUAGGUUAGGAA